Molecule: unclassified non-coding RNA, 2745 nt
Filed under: Leishmania donovani
Lineage: Eukaryota; Euglenozoa; Kinetoplastea; Trypanosomatida; Trypanosomatidae
Description: gene:LdHU3.28.2020(CDS-product:hypothetical_prote in_conserved)
Source: RNAcentral
CGCCCCUUUCACUAGCAAAGGCGGGUGCCUACACGUCACCCGCUGGGAAGGGCUUCGUCGUCUUGGUGCCCUUCCGCUUCUCCCAUUUGCGCUUGCCUCUCCUCCAUGCUGGAUCGUAACUGUUUGCGGCCACCGCCCUAUCCCUCUCCCUCCCCUUCUCCUUCUCUCAUAGAUACAGCGCCUACGGAGGUACGUGUGAGCGCUGCGGAGGCGCAGGCAAGCGGCGCUGCGGCACCAGCACAAGAAGGCAUCCAUAAAGAGCGUAUGCGUGGUAACGCCUCUAGUAAGGGUAUGCGAAUCACACACCUUGGCGACGCCCGCCGGCGCACGUUGGCACACACUCAAGGAGACUCGACGACGAGCACAGCGGAAGUGCGCCGGCUCUCAGUCCUCUUCGUCCGCUCGGAGCUGUCGGAGGACCGCCGCGACGAAGCCUCCACCCCUGCACCCGGUGCGGCAGCACCCGGCGACGCCGACGUUGUCGAUGUGGACACGUUCAAUAGCACCGAUUCGGACGGGGAGGAAGACGUGGGUCGUUUCGCCGUUGUGCCAGCGCACACGCCGCGUGUUGGCCACCUGUCCCUUCGCGACGCCGUCGUUCUUUCGUAUCGUGGCGCCAGUGAUGACUACGUGAUGCACCACCGCACGGUGGCCGCGUCUUGUGGACACGGCGCACCGCCGUCGCCCGUAGAUGAGCUUUUAUCCGUGGCAACGGAAGACAGCCGUGUGCUCCUCCGCCGAAGCGGGCUGACCACAGAGCCACGCACGUCGGACGUCCCGGCUGUGCACAUGUGGCGCGGAUGCAACGAUGGCGACGACGAAGAGGUGCAGCAGGGGGAAAGCAGAGCGUCCACGUGCCAAUCACGCGGUGGCGACCAGUUUUUUGUGUGGGAUGACUGUGCUAGAUCAUUGUCGGACGUACCCCCUGCGCGCCUCUCCUCUGUGAUACCGACAACCGUCUCCUCGGCCCGCUGGAAGCAAGAGUCCAGCGUGUUGCUCGAGCACGCGCGCGGCACUCUGCACCGGGUGCAUCCCCGCUGCGGCACCUUCAGUGCCACAGUGGGCAGUCCAUCACCGGCCCAGCAGCGUCCGCUCGGCUCUAGCAACGCCUGCGGUCGUUGCCAGGCAGACUUCGUGGCUCUCUCCAUGAACUCGUUGUCAUUGGUCCAGUCGCGCGAGUAUGGUGCCGACCUCGCUGCGAUUCACCACACCGCCUUUGCGUGCGAAAUGAGCGCUAACGCGAUUUGCAUGGAUGACUGGGGCCCGCACAGUACAGUCGUCGGUUUCUCGGAUGGGACGCUGCGCGUGGUGGACUGGCGCAUGCCCGCACGAGGCUCCUCCCUACGCGCAGGCGACGCUGCUGCCAACGAUGAAGAAACGCACGUUGCGCUCUGCACGCAUGUGCCGCAGCCGUCGUGGAUGAGGCAUGGUGGUCGCUCGACGGCCGCCGCUGCAUCAGUGGCGGGUGUGUUGUCGUGUUGCGCCUUCGAGGACAGCUUCCGCGUGGUCUGCGGACUGGGAGAUGCCUCGGGUGCCGUGGUGAUGGCCGACCUUCGCCGCCCCGAAAGCGGAACCCGUCUCAGACGUCGUCGCACGCGCGCGGAGCAGCAGGCGGCGCAGCACCUCUUCGCCGAAGCCGGCGGACAGAGCCCUACGGGGCGCGCUGUGACAGACAUUCAACGCGACCCCUCGUGCUUUGGCCGUAUCGGGCUCGUCGAUGUGACAGGAAGGGCCGCCUUGACCACUGUGGCUGCGUUGGAGGUCAGCGUCGGCAGCUCAGCAGCGGUCCUUCGAAAGCGCUGUCGCACGAAGGACAGGGCUAGCGUGCCUUCAUAUCUCGGCCCCACCGCCGCUGCGCGGCCGCGUCUUCCACCGCCGCCGUCGCCGUGGUCAGUCUUGGAGCGCCUGGGAAACCUGUCGCCGACUGCGUCUCGGUCGGCGGUCUUGACGACCAUCUUGUACAGCAUCCGUGGUGACCCCCAGCGCCCUGGCAUUUACACUGUCAACGCACAAGGUGGGUCAUUUCGCACCCCCUUCGCAGCGCACCCGCGGCCACGUUGCGCCUUCAGCGACGACGGUCGUCACUUUGCGCACAUAGCCACGAAAAGUGCCCUCGCCGCCACCCUGCGGUGUGCAGGUGUGCGAUCUGGUGCCUUGGGCGGCGGCCCCUCUUUUUCUUCUCCUCCCGGCAUCUCUGCGACACAUGUGCAGUUUGCGCCAAGCACAGCGAGCGGGCAGGCAGCGCGGACGCCUUCGCCCCUCAUCGCCGUUUCGUGUGUAGACGGGCUCCUCUGCUUCGACACCGGAGACGGGCACACGCUCGCGAUGCCGAUCGCGUGAGGAAGACGAUUCGCUGCCUCUGUCGCGGGCCGCCGCCGCCUCCCCCACACCCCCCCCCGCCCCCAGACUUCAGCGCUGAAAAAGAAACAGAAGAAUCAGUGCGUGCGCGCACACCCCGCAGGCGACAAGGCUACCGUUGGCGGUGGAACGACGGUCUGCGCGCGCAUCAUCGGCGGAGAAAAAAAAAAAACAGCAAAAGGAAAAGAAAAACGCGGAAGCUUCACCCAUGCAGCGCUGCGCGGCUGCCGCUCGCUGCGCGUAUCGCGGACGUACUGUGAGAAGGCACCGGUUGCAUGAUUGGGCGUCUUUGGCACCCCUCAAGCUUGCGAGGAGAGGGGAGGGGGAAAGGGCCGUACGCCACCUACGCGUGGGAGCCCUACCAAAGCAAACGCCACGCAAUGGCUU